Molecule: ribosomal RNA, 1209 nt
Filed under: Staphylococcus aureus
Lineage: Bacteria; Bacillati; Bacillota; Bacilli; Caryophanales; Staphylococcaceae
Description: partial 23S ribosomal RNA
Rfam family: Bacterial large subunit ribosomal RNA
Source: RNAcentral
GAUUAAGUUAUUAAGGGCGCACGGUGGAUGCCUUGGCACUAGAAGCCGAUGAAGGACGUUACUAACGACGAUAUGCUUUGGGGAGCUGUAAGUAAGCUUUGAUCCAGAGAUUUCCGAAUGGGGAAACCCAGCAUGAGUUAUGUCAUGUUAUCGAUAUGUGAAUACAUAGCAUAUCAGAAGGCACACCCGGAGAACUGAAACAUCUUAGUACCCGGAGGAAGAGAAAGAAAAUUCGAUUCCCUUAGUAGCGGCGAGCGAAACGGGAAGAGCCCAAACCAACAAGCUUGCUUGUUGGGGUUGUAGGACACUCUAUACGGAGUUACAAAGGACGACAUUAGACGAAUCAUCUGGAAAGAUGAAUCAAAGAAGGUAAUAAUCCUGUAGUCGAAAAUGUUGUCUCUCUUGAGUGGAUCCUGAGUACGACGGAGCACGUGAAAUUCCGUCGGAAUCUGGGAGGACCAUCUCCUAAGGCUAAAUACUCUCUAGUGACCGAUAGUGAACCAGUACCGUGAGGGAAAGGUGAAAAGCACCCCGGAAGGGGAGUGAAAUAGAACCUGAAACCGUGUGCUUACAAGUAGUCAGAGCCCGUUAAUGGGUGAUGGCGUGCCUUUUGUAGAAUGAACCGGCGAGUUACGAUUUGAUGCAAGGUUAAGCAGUAAAUGUGGAGCCGUAGCGAAAGCGAGUCUGAAUAGGGCGUUUAGUAUUUGGUCGUAGACCCGAAACCAGGUGAUCUACCCUUGGUCAGGUUGAAGUUCAGGUAACACUGAAUGGAGGACCGAACCGACUUACGUUGAAAAGUGAGCGGAUGAACUGAGGGUAGCGGAGAAAUUCCAAUCGAACCUGGAGAUAGCUGGUUCUCUCCGAAAUAGCUUUAGGGCUAGCCUCAAGUGAUGAUUAUUGGAGGUAGAGCACUGUUUGGACGAGGGGCCCCUCUCGGGUUACCGAAUUCAGACAAACUCCGAAUGCCAAUUAAUUUAACUUGGGAGUCAGAACAUGGGUGAUAAGGUCCGUGUUCGAAAGGGAAACAGCCCAGACCACCAGCUAAGGUCCCAAAAUAUAUGUUAAGUGGAAAAGGAUGUGGCGUUGCCCAGACAACUAGGAUGUUGGCUUAGAAGCAGCCAUCAUUUAAAGAGUGCGUAAUAGCUCACUAGUCGAGUGACACUGCGCCGAAAAUGUACCGGGGCUAAACAUAUUACCGAAGCUGUGGAU